RNAcentral lists this unclassified non-coding RNA (395 nucleotides) under soil metagenome. RNAcentral describes it as "partial contains 5.8S ribosomal RNA, internal transcribed spacer 2, and large subunit ribosomal RNA". The stretch from base 1 to 122 matches the Rfam family "5.8S ribosomal RNA", at positions 35 to 154 of the family's 154-position model. The record is from RNAcentral.
GAUGAAGAACGUAGCGAAAUGCGAUACUUGGUGUGAAUUGCAGAAUCCCGUGAACCAUCAAGUCUUUGAACGCAAGUUGCGCCCGAAGCCAUCAGGUUGAGGGCACGUCUGCCUGGGCGUCACAUAUCGUUGCCCAAUGCCUAUUGCAGUGCAAUAGGAAUUUCUAGGGCGAAUGAUGGCUUCCCGUGAGCGUUGUUGCCUCGCGGUUGGUUGAAAAUCGAGUCCUUGGUAGGGUGUGCCAUGGUAGAUGGUGGUCGAGUUAGAACGAUAUCGAUCAUGUGCAUGCUCCCCAAAAUAUGGCCUCUAUGACCCACACGCGUCUUUUGACGCUCAUGACGAGACCUCAGGUCAGGCGGGGCUACCCGCUGAAUUUAAGCAUAUCAAUAAGCGGAGGA